This 429-nucleotide long non-coding RNA is filed under the name Zalophus californianus (California sea lion). Its description in RNAcentral is "lncRNA (ENSZCAG00015004090.1)". The record is from RNAcentral. Lineage: Eukaryota; Metazoa; Chordata; Mammalia; Carnivora; Otariidae.
CUGACAUCCUACUCAGAGCAUAUAUUGUUUUUUAAAAGUGCUGAAUAAAUGAAUCAUUAAUGUGUGAAAGAAGAGAGAGUAACAGAGUUAUAUUUCUAGGUAAUGAAAGUGCCCGCAACGAAAAUAUGUUGUAUAACAUACCCUUCCGCAAUAAGCUUCCUACUCGACUCCAAGUUGAAAAGGAAUUUGGUUUCUGAUGCAGGAAAGAUUACUAAAGAAGAGUCUCACUCAACUUGUAGAAGCAAAAAUGUUCACCAUGACUUGACAACCAGCCUCUCCAAAUAAAAGUCAGCUGAACUUGACAAUGCUAUUAAGCUCUGGCUUCUUUUUUCUUUUCUGGUGACAAGUGGUUUUAGGCCUUGAAGUCUGGACAACUGUCAUCUCUUCUACAUUGAAACAGUUGGAUCAACUACUCCAUUUUGAAGGCUG